This 450-nucleotide ribosomal RNA is filed under the name uncultured bacterium. RNAcentral describes it as "bacterial SSU rRNA". It matches the Rfam family "Bacterial small subunit ribosomal RNA", at positions 354 to 796 of the family's 1533-position model. The record is from RNAcentral.
GUGGGGAAUAUUGGACAAUGGGCGAAAGCCUGAUCCAGCCAUGUCGCGUGUGUGAAGAAGGUCUUCGGAUUGUAAAGCACUUUAAGUUGGGAGGAAGGGCAGUAAGUUAAUACCUUGCUGUUUUGACGUUACCGACAGAAUAAGCACCGGCUAACUUCGUGCCAGCAGCCGCGGUAAUACGAAGGGUGCAAGCGUUAAUCGGAAUUACUGGGCGUAAAGCGCGCGUAGGUGGUUUUGUAAGUUGGAGGUGAAAUCCCCGGGCUCAACCUGGGAACUGCCUCCAAAACUGCAUGACUAGAGUACGGUAGAGGGUAGUGGAAUUUCCUGUGUAGCGAUGAAAUGCGUAGAUAUAGGAAGGAACACCAGUGGCGAAGGCGACUACCUGGACUGAUACUGACACUGAGGUGCGAAAGCGUGGGGAGCAAACAGGAUUAGAUACCCGAGUAGUCC